UCUGUGUCAAAGAAGAAAUAGCUAAAAAUUGUAACAAUUAAACCCUAAUAUUUGAACUAAUAAGAGAAGCUGGACAGGAUAACAAUUUAGUGAACCUCUAUUAUCAAAACUACUCGAUUAUACGAACUGCCUUGUUCACCGAUCUAUCCGGAUGAACUAGACUCUCUUGUAUGAAAUAAUUAACACGUAAAAACGAAAAUUAAGUGAACUAUCCUAAUACAUUUUAUUCUUAACUGAAAGUGGUGCUUAACUGAGGCUCAUGCCAAACAUCACCUAUCGAAUCGAAAGGCAAAUUAAUGUAAAUGUAAGGAGAGAUUCGUUGGAUCAUCGUCAAUUAUUAUAAGAAAUCGGCCUGGAAACGACGAUUCAGAAUUCAGCUUGCGUGUUGGAGGCUGCGAAUGCGUCCCACGUAGAAGCUGCGCAUUCUCGAUAUUCAAGAGUCACACCGACCAGAAGAGACGGUACUGUUUCCGUAAAAUGUCUGUAAAGCGGAGAACCAGAGGUCGCUCGCGUAUAAUACCGAGCGAGAUACUCCUGGACUCCUGGCUGUUUCAGAGAGGGGUUAGGGAUCGUGACGUGCCAUGGAUGGGAGGCGUUUUUCCCCUCGUUUUCAUGAGGAAUACCGCCGAGUCGCGAGGCGAACGAACGGAAUCUUAAUUCUCGGCGUUAGACGCUCGAUCGGCAAGGAUCUGGUUCCUUAAUGAAAUCCCGGUCGGGCUCGAAAAAGCGUAAAAAACUGUGAUAUUACGUCGAGCAGACUUUCAACCACGGCCACGAUCCUCGUCUUCUUACAUCAUCGCUUUCGUUUUCUACUCGCAUUGGGUAGAAUCGUAAAGUGAUUUAAAUGAUGUUCUCCCAAGAACUCGACUCCAAGAAGUUUACGUCUAGUCAGAUUAGUUUAUAUGUACGAAAGAGACAACGAAUAUGUUACAAAUUCAGGAAUAUUCUCUAAUCCCAGUAUCGGCUGAUAAGUUGUUACGGCACUGGCGCAUUCAAACCGGUUUUACUCGAUCACGAGACUUUAGGCGAUCGUUUGCGACGUGGGCGAGGUAAUGGUCCGUUCAGUUGAAAAUCGAAAUCCCUCUGCGAUAGAUUCGCGUACCUAUAAAAUGAAAAAUAAAAUCUUCCAACUAAUGUUA
Bombus terrestris (buff-tailed bumblebee) is the source of this 1139-nucleotide long non-coding RNA. RefSeq lists it as uncharacterized. The transcript has 2 exons. The record is from RefSeq and is a predicted model, not a curated record. Lineage: Eukaryota; Metazoa; Arthropoda; Insecta; Hymenoptera; Apidae.